Molecule: ribosomal RNA, 568 nt
Filed under: Stomatolina rubra
Lineage: Eukaryota; Metazoa; Mollusca; Gastropoda; Trochida; Trochidae
Description: partial 16S ribosomal RNA
Rfam family: Bacterial large subunit ribosomal RNA
Source: RNAcentral
GUCUCCUCGUAAAUUGAAAUUAUAUGAGGGGUCAGGCCUGCCCGGUGACUUAAUUGUUAAACGGCCGCGGUACCCUAACCGUGCAAAGGUAGCAUAAUCAUUUGCCUUUUAAUUGGAGGCUGGUAUGAAUGGUUUGACGAGAGCUAAGCUGUCUCUUUUAAAAUAAUUAGAAUUUAACUUUUAGGUGAAGAGGCCUAAAUUUAUUUAAGGGACAAGAAGACCCUGUUGAGCUUUAGUGAGGUUGUGAGUUUUAGUUUAUUGUUUUAAGAUAGAACUGUGUAUAUAUUUAAUAUAAUUUUAUCUUGCAAUUAAUCUUUAGUUGGGGCGACUGAGGAACAUAAGAAGCUUCCUUUAUAGAAUUUUAGUUUGUAGAAGUGUAUUUUAUUAUUUUGGCAAAAUAGAAUGAUCCAAAAUUUUUGAUCAAAGGAAAAAGUUACCACAGGGAUAACAGCGUAAUCUUUCUGGAGAGAUCAUAUCGAAAGAAGGGUUUGCGACCUCGAUGUUGGACUAAGAUAUCCUAAGGGUGCAGAAGCUCUUGGAGGUUGGUCUGUUCGACCAUUAAAAUCUU